RNAcentral lists this ribosomal RNA (472 nucleotides) under uncultured bacterium. Its description in RNAcentral is "bacterial SSU rRNA". It matches the Rfam family "Bacterial small subunit ribosomal RNA", at positions 355 to 825 of the family's 1533-position model. The record is from RNAcentral.
UGGGGAAUAUUGCGCAAUGGGCGAAAGCCUGACGCAGCAACGCCGCGUGGGGGAUGAAGGUCUUCGGAUCGUAAACCCCUGUCGAAUGGGACGAAAGACUCGCGAGUGAAUACUUCGCGAGAGUGACGGUACCGUUAAAGGAAGCCACGGCUAACUCUGUGCCAGCAGCCGCGGUAAUACAGAGGUGGCAAGCGUGUUCGGAAUUACUGGGCGUAAAGGGCGCGUAGGCGGCCCUCUAAGUCAGACGUGAAAUCCCCCGGCUUAACCUGGGAACUGCGUCUGAUACUGGAGGGCUUGAGUAUGGGAGAGGGAUGUAGAAUUCCAGGUGUAGCGGUGAAAUGCGUAGAUAUCAAGAGGAACACCUGAGGUGAAGACGGGUUGCUGGGCUGACACUGACGCUGAGGCGCGAAAGCCAGGGGAGCAAACGGGAUUAGAUACCCAUGUAGUCCCUGAGCGGGCUGGCAAGGCGCAU